CCACAUCAAUGGAGGCAGCAGGCGCGCAAUUACCCAAUCCUGACUCAGGGAGGUAGUGACAAGAAAUAACAAUAAACCGGCUUAUGCCGGUUUAAUUGGAAUGAGUACAAUUUAAACAUCUUAACGAGGAACAAUUGGAGGGCAAGUCUGGUGCCAGCAGCCGCGGUAAUUCCAGCUCCAAUAGCGUAUACUAAAGUUGUUGCAGUUAAAAAGCUCGUAGUUGGAUUUCUGUGGGGACGGAGCGGCCGGCCGCAACACGCGGUUCGAGCUAGCGCUUUCCCUACAUCCUGCCGCGAACCGUGCUACCAUUAGUUUGGUGGCGCCGGGGAUCGGCUCGAUUACUUUGAGAAAAAUAGAGUGUUCAAAGCAGGCCACACGCCUUGAAUAAGUUAGCAUGGAAUAAUAACUAAGGACUUCGGUUCUAUUUUGUUGGUGUUCGGGACUGAAGUAAUGAUUGAUAGGGACAGUUGGGGCGGUCUGUAUUCCAAAGCGAGAGGUGAAAUUCUUAGACCUUCGGAAGACAAACAGCUGCGAAAGCGUUCCGCAAGGAUGUUCCCUUUGAUCAAGAACGAAAGUCGGGGGAUCGAAGACGAUCAGAUACCGUCGUAGUCUCAACUAUAAACUAUACCAGCUAGGGAUCGGCCAACGUUAUUCUAUACCGACUUGGUCGGCACCUUAUGAGAAAUCAAAGCAUCUGGGUUCCGGGGGGAGUAUGGUCGCAAGGCUGAAACUUAAAGGAAUUGACGGAAGGGCACCACCAGCCGUGGAGCCUGUGGCUUAAUUUGACUCAACACGGGAAAACUUACCAGGUCCAGACAUAGUAAGGAUUGACAGAUUGAUAGCUCUUUCUUGAUUCUGUGGGUGGUGGUGCAUGGCCGUUCUUAGUUGGUGGAGUGAUUUGUCUGGUUAAUUCCGUUAACGAACGAGACCCCAGCCUGCUAAAUAGCGCGCGUGAGCUUUGCUCGCGGCGAGCUUCUUAGAGGGACUAUGAUGCGCGAUAGCACAUGGAAGUUUGGGGCAAUAACAGGUCUGUGAUGCCCUUAGAUGUUCUGGGCCGCACACGGGCUACACUGGCGCCUGCAACGAGCAUAUCAGCUGGCCCGAGAGGGUCUUGGCUAAUCUUUUGAACCGGCGCCGUGCUUGGGAUUGACCUUUGCAAUUGUUGGUCAUGCAACGAGGAAUGCCUUGUAAACGCGAGUCAUCAGCUCGCAUUGAAUACGUCCCUGCCCUUUGUACACACCGCCCGUCGCUCCUACCGAUGAAUGUUCCGAUGAAAUUUUCGGAGAGUGCCUGUGAACUUGGCUCUGCCUUGCGAACGGGAAGCUCAAAGUCACUUAAAUCUGAACCCU
This 1349-nucleotide ribosomal RNA is filed under the name uncultured marine eukaryote. RNAcentral's name for it is "SSU rRNA". It matches the Rfam family "Eukaryotic small subunit ribosomal RNA", at positions 410 to 1773 of the family's 1831-position model. The record is from RNAcentral.